RNAcentral lists this ribosomal RNA (459 nucleotides) under uncultured bacterium. RNAcentral's name for it is "partial 16S ribosomal RNA". It matches the Rfam family "Bacterial small subunit ribosomal RNA", at positions 338 to 795 of the family's 1533-position model. The record is from RNAcentral.
CCUACGGGUGGCAGCAGUGAGGAAUAUUGGUCAAUGGGCGAGAGCCUGAACCAGCCAAGUCGCGUGAAGGAUGACGGCCCUACGGGUUGUAAACUUCUUUUGUCAGGGAGCAAUUGAGUCCACGUGUGGUCUUAGCGAGAGUACCUGAAGAAAAAGCAUCGGCUAACUCCGUGCCAGCAGCCGCGGUAAUACGGAGGAUGCGAGCGUUAUCCGGAUUUAUUGGGUUUAAAGGGUGCGUAGGCGGAAUAUCAAGUCAGCGGUAAAAAUUCGGGGCUCAACCCCGUCGUGCCGUUGAAACUGAUGUUCUUAGUGGGCGAGAAGUAUGCGGAAUGCGUGGUGUAGCGGUGAAAUGCAUAGAUAUCACGCAGAACCCCGAUUGCGAAGGCAGCCUUCCGGCGCCCUACUGACGCUGAGGCACGAAAGUGCGGGGAUCGAACAGGAUUAGAUACCCGUGUAGUC